Hemicordylus capensis (graceful crag lizard) is the source of this 1352-nucleotide long non-coding RNA. RefSeq lists it as uncharacterized. The record is from RefSeq and is a predicted model, not a curated record. NCBI's taxonomy places the organism in Eukaryota, Metazoa, Chordata, Lepidosauria, Squamata, Cordylidae. The transcript has 4 exons.
GAGUGAGCAUAUGCUUGUUCUUUGUUGCCAUCAUAACACCUGCAAUGAACUUCAUGCAAGUGUACCUGAACUAGGGCAGUAGGGAUCAUGGAGUUGAGGGUGCAUGGAAUUUAGCAUCCAAGACCCUCGUACCCACGCAAGUAUUUUCACCACCAAGUCUAGCAGGAGUAGCAUAUUUCUCACAGCUGCUCCUAACAGUAUGGUUCUCUGCGAAGGAGAGAAGUAUCGAGGAGCACUGCGAAAGGCCUUGCUCAAAUGCCGCUGCCGCCGCCUCCUUCUCCUGUGAAUGUGAUCUUGAAAAGGGGGAGUAAAUGAUCUUUUGGUGUGACAGUGCAAUCUACUUAACCUAGAAAUUGUACUCACAGAGAAUUGCAGAAGAAAAGGGAUGUCAAAUCCGAGCAUCUCAGGGGAAGGGAUGUGAAAUCCAGAAAUCAGCCUCUUCAUAUUUUUAACUGAUACUUUUAAAGUUGCAAGUGAAGUGUGUAAGAAAUUCAUCAGCAAACACUGUCCAAGUCUUGACCAGUUUGAAUUUGGAAACAUAAAAGGUACAUCAUAACUGCAGGAAAAGUCUGUAAAUAUGUUCACCUCCUACCACCAAAAGGACCUUCCUCCAUCCCUAUGAUAGACUGUUUGGCUCUGAGUUCACCAGUCACUCAGAGUCACAGCAUGAACUGGUUUAUGAGACCAUCAGGAAAACACCAGAAUAAUGACUGAGAAGAGAAAAGCCAAAUCUGAGCAAUAUUGAACUUUUAUAUAUGCCUGAAUGCAGUUUCACUAGCCCAAUAACUCACAUACCAAAAUGUGGAAGAAAAAGGACAAAAUUUUAACGAAUGGAAAGCUAGAAAACUAAAUAGCUGAGCAGGUGUCUAGGAAGCAUCAAUUCUUUGGUAAGACCGUGGUGUGUUUGGAAAGUAUUUGCUGUGAAACCAAAAAAUGCUGGCAUAAGAGAAAGCAUGGGGUAUAAAAAAGUGGCCAAGGAGAACCAUUUGUACAUCAGGUGCAAUGAAAGCAGAUGGUGCUGAGAAGUUCAGAAGAGCAAGGAGACAGCAUAGAUUCUUUGGAAUGAGUGUUUACCAUUCCCACAUAAGUUCAUGGGUGUUUUUGGUACCCACUGCUGAAGCACUGAAGUUAAUGUGCCUUUCUCCUCUCCCUAAUCUUGCUUCAGGGCUAUUUAAUGCCUCACUAGACCUAAGAAUAAACCCUAGGGUCCCAUGCUCAUUUCACUUCAAUUAAGAUAUACCGCCUGAGCGAAAUAUACAUCGAUAGGGAGCCACAUUUUCUGAAAUAACUGCUUAUCUCUGCACUUUCAGCUCAUUAUAAACAGACUCCUGGGAUCUAGCUUUAAAUAAAGG